AUUUUAUGUUGAUUUGGUCUUAGAGCAGUAUGGUAAUAUUCGGAUUGUCAUUUUCAUGAUUUUGAGUUGGGUCACUAGGAAACUCGGGUCAAUUGUGAUGCCAUCGGUGCAAGUCUGUAAACUCACUUGGGUCAAUUGUGACGCCGUAGGUGAAAGUCCGUAAACCUAUUUGGGUCAAUUGCGACGCCGUAGGUGAAAGUCCGUAAACCCCCGCGGGGUAGGUUGCGUUGUCCUUUGGGUUAGUAGCCCGUAAAGUGCAUGUGCUAGAGACGUCUAGUACGGCGGUUGGUUGGUUGUAUCGGUUUCGAGAUGGAUUCGAAGGCUUAAAAAUCAUGGAUAUGUUCUAGUUCUCUUUUUUUUUUUUUUGAACUUAAUCGGAUACUUGUACAUAUUUGUUUGUAAGGAGGCAUGAGGCAUGUAAACUUUAACUUUAUUUUGGGAAUGUAAAAUUGUAGAUUGAGAGAA
Molecule: long non-coding RNA, 465 nt
Organism: Rhododendron vialii
Lineage: Eukaryota; Viridiplantae; Streptophyta; Magnoliopsida; Ericales; Ericaceae
Exons: 2
Source: RefSeq, a predicted model, not a curated record